CAGGUUUGCGCCCAUCGGGCGAAUCCUCGACCCACGCCACGCCGCGUGGGGGAUGAAGGUCUUCGGGUUGAACUUCUCGUCGAGCGGGGACGAUAGGCCGGUGUUAACACCACCGGCGAUCGACGGUACUCGUUUGUAAGCUCCCGCUGACUACAUGCCAGCAGCCGCGAGUAAUAAAAAAA
RNAcentral lists this ribosomal RNA (182 nucleotides) under uncultured bacterium. RNAcentral's name for it is "partial 16S ribosomal RNA". The record is from RNAcentral.